This 253-nucleotide ribosomal RNA is filed under the name uncultured bacterium. RNAcentral's name for it is "partial 16S ribosomal RNA". It matches the Rfam family "Bacterial small subunit ribosomal RNA", at positions 524 to 776 of the family's 1533-position model. The record is from RNAcentral.
UACGAAGGGGGCUAGCGUUGUUCGGAAUCACUGGGCGUAAAGCGCACGUAGGCGGCUUUGUAAGUUAGAGGUGAAAGCCCGGGGCUCAACUCCGGAAUUGCCUUUAAGACUGCAUCGCUAGAAUUGUGGAGAGGUAAGUGGAAUUCCGAGUGUAGAGGUGAAAUUCGUAGAUAUUCGGAAGAACACCAGUGGCGAAGGCGGUUCUCUGGGAAUGUUCUGACGCUGAGGAGCGAAAGUGUGGGGAGCGAACAGG